Molecule: ribosomal RNA, 253 nt
Filed under: uncultured bacterium
Lineage: Bacteria
Description: partial 16S ribosomal RNA
Rfam family: Bacterial small subunit ribosomal RNA
Source: RNAcentral
UACGAAAAAAGCUAGCGUUGUUCGGAAUUACUGGGCGUAAAGGGCGCGUAGGCUGUGCUGUAAGUCAGGCGUGAAAUCCCCGGACUCAACCUGGGAAUUGCGCAUGAUACUGCGGCGCUUGAAGACGGGAGAAGAUGGCGGAAUUCCCAGUGUAGAGAUGAAAUUCGUAGAUAUUGGGAAGAACACCGGUGGCGAAGGCGGCCAUCUGGCCCGUAAUUGACGCUGAGGCGCGAAAGCGUGGGGAGCAAACAGG